This 465-nucleotide ribosomal RNA is filed under the name uncultured bacterium. RNAcentral describes it as "partial 16S ribosomal RNA". It matches the Rfam family "Bacterial small subunit ribosomal RNA", at positions 29 to 507 of the family's 1533-position model. The record is from RNAcentral.
AUGCACGCUGGCGGCGUGCUUAACACAUGCAAGUCGAACGGAAAGGCCCUGCUUGCAGGGUACUCGAGUGGCGAACGGGUGAGUAACACGUGGGUGAUCUGCCCUGUACUUUGGGAUAAGCCUGGGAAACUGGGUCUAAUACCGAAUAUGACAAUUGUUUGGAUGCGAUUGUGGAAAGCUUUUGCGGUAUGGGAUGAGCUCGCGGCCUAUCAGCUUGUUGGUGGGGUAAUGGCCUACCAAGGCGUCGACGGGUAGCCGGCCUGAGAGGGUGUACGGCCACAUUGGGACUGAGAUACGGCCCAGACUCCUACGGGAGGCAGCAGUGGGGAAUAUUGCACAAUGGGCGCAAGCCUGAUGCAGCGACGCCGCGUGGGGGAUGACGGCCUUCGGGUUGUAAACUCCUUUCGCAACCGACGAAGCCUUUUGGUGACGGUAGGUUGAGAAGAAGCACCGGCUAACUACGUG